Non-coding RNA from Perkinsus olseni, 85 nucleotides. Lineage: Eukaryota; Perkinsozoa; Perkinsida; Perkinsidae. The record is from the annotation of a GenBank genome assembly.
GGUGCGAGAGGUCCCGAGUUGGUUAUGACGACUGCCUCACACGCAGUAGGUCCCGAGUUCGACUCGCGGUUCCAGUAUUGCACCA